RNAcentral lists this transfer RNA (21 nucleotides) under Corvus macrorhynchos colonorum. RNAcentral describes it as "partial tRNA-Phe". Lineage: Eukaryota; Metazoa; Chordata; Aves; Passeriformes; Corvidae. The record is from RNAcentral. RNAcentral also lists the same sequence under 2 other names.
GUCCAUGUAGCUUACGACAAA